This 1305-nucleotide ribosomal RNA is filed under the name metagenome. RNAcentral describes it as "bacterial LSU rRNA". It matches the Rfam family "Bacterial large subunit ribosomal RNA", at positions 1579 to 2925 of the family's 2925-position model. The record is from RNAcentral.
AACCUAGUUGUGCGUGUGUAAAGGUAGUGCCAAGAAAAGCGAUGAUCAUGUUGAAAAUCAAUUCCCGGUACCCGAAACCGACACAGGUGGGCAAGUAGAGAAUACUAAGGGGCGCGAGGUAACUCUCUCCAAGGAACUCGGCAAAAUGACCCCGUAACUUAGGGAGAAGGGGUGCCACCGAGAGGUGGUCGCAGUGAAGAGGCCCAGGCGACUGUUUAGCAAAAACAUAGGUCUCUGCAAACUCGAAAGAGGAGGUAUAGGGGCUGACGCCUGCCCAGUGCCGGAAGGUUAAAGAAGUUGGUCAGUUUUAGGAUGAAGCUAGCGACUGAAGCCCCGGUGAACGGCGGCCGUAACUAUAACGGUCCUAAGGUAGCGAAAUUCCUUGUCGGGUAAGUUCCGACCCGCACGAAAGGCGUAACGAUCUGGGCGCUGUCUCGGAGAGAGGCUCGGCGAAAUAGGAUUGUCUGUGAAGAUACGGACUACCUGCAUUUGGACAGAAAGACCCUAUGAAGCUUUACUAUAGUUUGGAAUUGUGUUCGGGCUUCCUGUGCGCAGGAUAGGUGGGAGGCGUAGAAGGUAUUCUUGUGGGGAUACUGGAGCCAACGGUGAGAUACCACUCUCAGGAGGCUAGAAUUCUAACUUAAUUAAGGACAGUUUCAGGUGGGUAGUUUGACUGGGGCGGUCGCCUCCAAAAAGGUAACGGAGGCGUACAAAGGUUCCCUCAGACUGGUUGGAAAUCAGUCGAAGAGUGCAAAGGCAGAAGGGAGCUUGACUGCGAGAAGUACAGUUCGAGCAGGGUGGAAACACGGUCUUAGUGAUCCGACGGUGCUGUGUGGAAGGGCCGUCGCUCAACGGAUAAAAGUUACUCUAAGGAUAACAGGCUGAUCUCCCCCAAGAGUUCACAUCGACGGGGAGGUUUGGCACCUCGAUGUCGGCUCAUCGCAACCUGGGCGGAAGUACGUCCCAAGGGUUGGGCUGUUCGCCCAUUAAAGCGGUACGUGAGCUGGGUUCAGAACGUCGUGAGACAGUUCGGUCCAUAUCCGAUGUAGGCGUGAGAAUAUUGAGAGGAGCCUUCCUUAGUACGAGAGGACCGGGAAGGACGCACCGCUGGUGUACCUGUUAUGAUGCCAAUUGUAAACGCAGGGUAGCCAAGUGCGGAGAGGAUAACCGCUGAAAGCAUCUAAGUGGGAAGCCCACCUCAAGAUGAGUAUUCUGGUGUAAGGUCACGGGAAGACGACCCGUAAAUAGGCACGAGGUGGAAGUGCAGAGAUGUAUGAAGCCGAAGUGUACUAAUAGACCGUCGGC